This 468-nucleotide ribosomal RNA is filed under the name uncultured bacterium. Its description in RNAcentral is "partial 16S ribosomal RNA". It matches the Rfam family "Bacterial small subunit ribosomal RNA", at positions 28 to 507 of the family's 1533-position model. The record is from RNAcentral.
GACGAACGCUGGCGGCGUGCUUAACACAUGCAAGUCGAACGGAAAGGCCCUGCUUUUGUGGGGUGCUCGAGUGGCGAACGGGUGAGUAACACGUGAGUAACCUGCCCUUGACUUUGGGAUAACUUCAGGAAACUGGGGCUAAUACCGGAUAGGAGCUCCUGCUGCAUGGUGGGGGUUGGAAAGUUUCGGCGGUUGGGGAUGGACUCGCGGCUUAUCAGCUUGUUGGUGGGGUAGUGGCUUACCAAGGCUUUGACGGGUAGCCGGCCUGAGAGGGUGACCGGCCACAUUGGGACUGAGAUACGGCCCAGACUCCUACGGGAGGAAGCAGUGGGGAAUAUUGCAAAAUGGGCGGAAGCCUGAUGCAGCAACGCAGCGUGCGGGAUAACGGCCUUAGGGUUGUAAACCGCUUUCGCCUGUGACGAAGCGUGAGUGACGGUAAUGGGUAAAGAAGCACCGGCUAACUACGUG